Molecule: ribosomal RNA, 253 nt
Filed under: uncultured bacterium
Lineage: Bacteria
Description: partial 16S ribosomal RNA
Rfam family: Bacterial small subunit ribosomal RNA
Source: RNAcentral
GACGAACCGUGCGAACGUUGUUCGGAAUCACUGGGCCUAAAGGGCGCGUAGGCGGCUUAUCAAGUCAGGGGUGAAAUCCGGCAGCUCAACUCCAGAACUGCCUUCGAUACUGAGAGUCUCGAGUCCGGGAGAGGUGAGUGGAACUGCGAGUGUAGAGGUGAAAUUCGUAGAUAUUCGCAAGAACACCAGUGGCGAAGGCGGCUCACUGGCCCGGUACUGACGCUGAGGUGCGAAAGCGUGGGGAGCAAACAGG